UGGGGAAUCUUGCGCAAUGGGCGAAAGCCUGACGCAGCCAUGCCGCGUGAAUGAUGAAGGUCUUAGGAUUGUAAAAUUCUUUCACCGGGGACGAUAAUGACGGUACCCGGAGAAGAAGCCCCGGCUAACUUCGUGCCAGCAGCCGCGGUAAUACGAAGGGGGCUAGCGUUGCUCGGAAUUACUGGGCGUAAAGGGAGCGUAGGCGGACAUUUAAGUCAGGGGUGAAAUCCCGGGGCUCAACCUCGGAAUUGCCUUUGGUACUGGGUGUCUUGAGUAUGAGAGAGGUGUGUGGAACUCCGAGUGUAGAGGUGAAAUUCGUAGAUAUUCGGAAGAACACCAGUGGCGAAGGCGACACACUGGCUCAUUACUGACGCUGAGGCUCGAAAGCGUGGGGAGCAAACAGG
This 404-nucleotide ribosomal RNA is filed under the name Actinomycetes bacterium. RNAcentral's name for it is "Actinobacteria bacterium partial 16S ribosomal RNA". It matches the Rfam family "Bacterial small subunit ribosomal RNA", at positions 355 to 776 of the family's 1533-position model. The record is from RNAcentral. Lineage: Bacteria; Bacillati; Actinomycetota; Actinomycetes.